This 489-nucleotide ribosomal RNA is filed under the name uncultured Gammaproteobacteria bacterium. RNAcentral describes it as "bacterial SSU rRNA". It matches the Rfam family "Bacterial small subunit ribosomal RNA", at positions 94 to 578 of the family's 1533-position model. The record is from RNAcentral. Lineage: Bacteria; Pseudomonadati; Pseudomonadota; Gammaproteobacteria.
AGUGGCGGACGGGUGAGUAACGCAUAGGAAUCUGCCCAUGUAGUGGGGGACAACCUGGGGAAACUCAGGCUAAUACCGCAUACGCCCUACGGGGGAAAGCGGAGGAUCUUCGGACUUCGCGCUAUUGGAUGAGCCUAUGUCAGAUUAGCUUGUUGGUGGGGUAAAGGCCUACCAAGGCGACGAUCUGUAGCUGGUCUGAGAGGACGAUCAGCCACACUGGGACUGAGACACGGCCCAGACUCCUACGGGAGGCAGCAGUGGGGAAUAUUGCACAAUGGGCGCAAGCCUGAUGCAGCAAUGCCGCGUGUGUGAAGAAGGCCCGAGGGUUGUAAAGCACUUUCAGUAGGGAAGAAACCGUAACGGAAUAAUACCCGUUACCUUGACGUUACCUACAGAAGAAGCACCGGCUAACUCUGUGCCAGCAGCCGCGGUAAUACAGAGGGUGCUAGCGUUAAUCGGAAUUACUGGGCGUAAAGCGCGCGUAGGCGG